Molecule: transfer RNA, 74 nt
Filed under: Saccharomyces cerevisiae (brewer's yeast)
Lineage: Eukaryota; Fungi; Ascomycota; Saccharomycetes; Saccharomycetales; Saccharomycetaceae
Rfam family: tRNA
About the family: Transfer RNA (tRNA) molecules are approximately 80 nucleotides in length. Their secondary structure includes four short double-helical elements and three loops (D, anti-codon, and T loops).
Source: RNAcentral
GGGCGGUUAGUGUAGUGGUUUAUCAUCCCACCCUUCCAAGGUGGGGGACACGGGUUCGAUUCUCGUACCGCUCA